This is a long non-coding RNA of Carassius gibelio (silver crucian carp), 1552 nucleotides long. RefSeq lists it as uncharacterized. NCBI's taxonomy places the organism in Eukaryota, Metazoa, Chordata, Actinopteri, Cypriniformes, Cyprinidae. The transcript is spliced from 3 exons. The record is from RefSeq and is a predicted model, not a curated record.
UUGUAGAUGUUAAAAGCAAGAGACAUGGGAGAGCAUCAUUCCUUUGAGAUUUUAUAAAUCAAACCAAGUUUGGAGUUGUCUGAUUUGGAGAGUCAUUAUUCUUGGUCUUCGCUCUUAGAGGCCACUGAUGAAGAACAGGCGGUGUUUGGGAUGAAUGCUGAUCAGAGAGGAGAAUCUUCUUUCCCCUAAACUGAUGCAGCGGUGGUUUUAAAGGAGGACGCUGCCCUGGAUGAUGUAGAAGAUGGGGCUUCUUCAUGACUACAUCAGUUAUGCUAAAGAGAUCAUGAAAAUUGACCGUGAUGCAUGAUCUGUAUUCAUGGACUAUGAAACAAACUGUAAGUGUAUAAUUUGUUAAAAAAAAAAAAGUUAAAUGCUUUUUCUGUGUUGUUUAGUAGAAGAGUUUACACUCUGUCAUUCAUACACCUGCUCACAUUCUUUCACACACACACACACACACACACACACACACACACACGCGUCUGUUAAAUGUUAUAAUAUCAAAGUUAAUGUUGUGAUUUAUUUGUGUACUGUCAUGCCAGAAUAGUUAGAAAAAAACCUAACUAAUUGUAAAUUUAUUGUAUGUGUUUUCGUAUAUUUUUAUACAAUAUAUACAAUUGAACAAAGUCCAAUUUGAUCUUAAGUUAUGUUCAUCAAAUGUUCAAUGCUUUGUUUAUGAACUCUGUAGCUGUUAAUGCCAUCCUUUUCUGCAUUUCUUUUAACAUGUUACUUUUUGACUUUUCUCUUGUUUUUAAUAAAUAUUUUCCUUUUGAUAAUUAUUAUUUGUGUGUAAAAGUGAUAUUUAAAAUGAACAACAUUUGUAGGUUUAAUGCCUAGCUCAAUUUGGGUUAAUUUUAACGUAGAAAUGCAUUGUUUCCCCACAUGGCUGCACUCUGCGAGUUUAUUUUCUGCCAGCAGGAGGCGCUAAGAGCGGGAGAGGUAGGUUUCUCCGGUAACGGCUGCAGAGCGGUGCUGAGCUCACAAACGCUGCCUUAUCAAGCACAUGCGAAAUGAUAUCGAACAUUUUCUAAAUACAGUAGUUUUCCUUCUGAAAUACAGUGAUAAAAAACACCCGCUCUGGUUUUUGAAACCCUGCAAUAUAGUCAUUUUAAACCAUAAAAAAUGGCAACCCAGCAGGCUGGGUUAAAUAUGAUUACCCAACUGGUUGGGUUAAAACAACCCAGCGCUGGGUUCGUCCCUUUUUGACCCAGCGCUGGGUUGUCAAAAUAACCCAAAUUGGGUUGUUUUCAACCCAGCAGUUUUUAGAGUGUAUCCAGUGAGGGGCAGUUGUGUGGACGAAAAUGCCUUGAUGUCAGAGGAGAAUGGGCAGAAUGGUUCGAGAUGGUAGAAAGGCAACAGUAACUCAAUGAAUCACUCAAUAGUUCCAACCAAGGUAUGCAGAAUACCAUCUCUGAACACACAACACUUUGAACCCUGAAACAGAUGGACUACAGCAGCAGAAGACCACACCGGGUGCUGUUCCUGUCUGCUACGAACAGGAAACAGAGGAUACAAUUCACACAGGCUCACCAAAAUUGGACAAUAAAACAUUGGA